This 363-nucleotide transfer-messenger RNA is filed under the name Salmonella enterica. Its description in RNAcentral is "Standard tmRNA". It matches the Rfam family "transfer-messenger RNA". From Rfam's summary of the family: Bacterial tmRNA, also known as 10Sa RNA or SsrA, is named for its dual tRNA and mRNA-like properties. Lineage: Bacteria; Pseudomonadati; Pseudomonadota; Gammaproteobacteria; Enterobacterales; Enterobacteriaceae. RNAcentral also lists the same sequence under 1 other name. The record is from RNAcentral.
GGGGCUGAUUCUGGAUUCGACGGGAUUUGCGAAACCCAAGGUGCAUGCCGAGGGGCGGUUGGCCUCGUAAAAAGCCGCAAAAAAAUAGUCGCAAACGACGAAACCUACGCUUUAGCAGCUUAAUAACCUGCUUAGAGCCCUCUCUCCCUAGCCUCCGCUCUUAGGACGGGGAUCAAGAGAGGUCAAACCCAAAAGAGAUCGCGCGGAUGCCCUGCCUGGGGUUGAAGCGUUAAAACGAAUCAGGCUAGUCUAGUAGUGGCGUGUCCGUCCGCAGGUGCCAGGCGAAUGUAAAGACUGACUAAGCAUGUAGUACCGAGGAUGUAGGAAUUUCGGACGCGGGUUCAACUCCCGCCAGCUCCACCA